AGCAGAGUAAUGGUCAUACCAGUA
RNAcentral lists this non-coding RNA (24 nucleotides) under Arabidopsis thaliana (thale cress). The record is from RNAcentral. Lineage: Eukaryota; Viridiplantae; Streptophyta; Magnoliopsida; Brassicales; Brassicaceae.